Molecule: ribosomal RNA, 490 nt
Filed under: uncultured bacterium
Lineage: Bacteria
Description: partial 16S ribosomal RNA
Rfam family: Bacterial small subunit ribosomal RNA
Source: RNAcentral
GAUGAACGCUAGUGGCAGGCCUAAUACAUGCAAGUCGAACGGGAUCCAGAUCAAAGCUUGCUUUGGUCUGGUGAGAGUGGCGCACGGGUGCGUAACGCGUGAGCAACCUACCCUUGUCAGGGGGAUAGCCCGGCGAAAGUCGGAUUAAUACCGCAUGACAUCAUUGAGAGGCAUCUUUCGAUGAUCAAAGAUUUAUCGGACAAGGAUGGGCUCGCGUGACAUUAGCUAGUUGGUAAGGUAACGGCUUACCAAGGCUGCGAUGUCUAGGGGCUCUGAGAGGAGAAUCCCCCACACUGGUACUGAGACACGGACCAGACUCCUACGGGAGGCAGCAGUAAGGAAUAUUGGUCAAUGGACGGAAGUCUGAACCAGCCAUGCCGCGUGCAGGAGGACGGCCCUAUGGGUUGUAAACUGCUUUUAUACGGGAACAAACGUCGGUACGUGUACCGGUCUGAGUGUACCGUAAGAAUAAGGAUCGGCUAACUCCGUG